UCCAGGGUAGCCUUGUGGACAUGGCAUCUGUCCGGUAAGCGGAAAACUGGGUACAAUUCCCAUCCCUGGAC
This 71-nucleotide transfer RNA is filed under the name Cordylochernes scorpioides. Its description in RNAcentral is "tRNA-Thr". It matches the Rfam family "tRNA". Rfam says of the family: Transfer RNA (tRNA) molecules are approximately 80 nucleotides in length. Lineage: Eukaryota; Metazoa; Arthropoda; Arachnida; Pseudoscorpiones; Chernetidae. The record is from RNAcentral.